RNAcentral lists this ribosomal RNA (253 nucleotides) under uncultured bacterium. RNAcentral's name for it is "partial 16S ribosomal RNA". It matches the Rfam family "Bacterial small subunit ribosomal RNA", at positions 524 to 776 of the family's 1533-position model. The record is from RNAcentral.
UACGUAGGGUGCAAGCGUUAAUCGGAUUUACUGGGCGUAAAGCGUGCGCAGGCGGUUUUGUAAGUCUGUCGUGAAAUCCCCGGGCUCAACCUGGGAAUUGCGAUGGAGACUGCAAGGCUAGAAUCUGGCAGAGGGGGGUAGAAUUCCACGUGUAGCAGUGAAAUGCGUAGAGAUGUGGAGGAACACCGAUGGCGAAGGCAGCCCCCUGGGUCAAGAUUGACGCUCAUGCACGAAAGCGUGGGGAGCAAACAGG